CGAUUUCAUUUUGUUAAAAAAAAAAUCGAUACAGUUUCUAUUCCAGGAAUCCAGAAAGUCAAGAUCCAACCUUUACACCACAAAUCACAAGAAAAAAACCAAAAUCCGACAACCCAACAUGUAGAUCGACAACACGAGAGACGAAAGAACAAAAAAGAAAAAGUCGAGUACCAGCAGGGACGUGAUUAAGUGCGAUGCCGGUACUGGACAGAGCCUGUUGGACAGCUGAGUGAAUCCGAUUGGUAUCCCCGUAAGCAGAGAUGGAGACUGGCCCACAAUAAUUCAUCUUGGCCAGGGCUGAGCUUAUGUUCUGGGCUAUAGCAUGUGGAUCGCAUUCUCUAGGUACCUGGCAGUUCUCUAUAUCCCACCACACCGAGGUCUUGGCCGUGACAUACUGCGACUCUGCUACUCCUUCGCCGCCCAUAGUUUCCCCGAUCAACCGGAUAAUUGAUAAUCAAUAAACCCAGGCAGCGGCUCCACCAGCAGCGAAGGUAUAGAGAGGAUCGCUCUGGCUUCUAAUGAAGUCAGAAAAAACCUAAAGGGUUAACCCCUUGGC
RNAcentral lists this unclassified non-coding RNA (556 nucleotides) under Hevea brasiliensis (rubber tree). The record is from RNAcentral. Lineage: Eukaryota; Viridiplantae; Streptophyta; Magnoliopsida; Malpighiales; Euphorbiaceae.